RNAcentral lists this unclassified non-coding RNA (322 nucleotides) under Stenotrophomonas sp. UMCV3. RNAcentral's name for it is "partial 16S-23S ribosomal RNA intergenic spacer". The stretch from base 165 to 238 matches the Rfam family "tRNA". The record is from RNAcentral. Lineage: Bacteria; Pseudomonadati; Pseudomonadota; Gammaproteobacteria; Lysobacterales; Lysobacteraceae.
UUCACAAGUACCUGCAUUCAGAGAAUCACGUCGGCCAGGCCGAUGUGAGAGUCCCUUUUGGGGCCUUAGCUCAGCUGGGAGAGCACCUGCUUUGCAAGCAGGGGGUCGUCGGUUCGAUCCCGACAGGCUCCACCAUGUUCGGGCUUGUUCCGGAAGAGUCUUCCGGGUCUGUAGCUCAGGUGGUUAGAGCGCACCCCUGAUAAGGGUGAGGUCGGUAGUUCGAGUCUACCCAGACCCACCAUUCUCUGAAUGACGCAUACAAUCGAUCUUUAUACGCAUCAGCACUGUGGCUGGUACGUGUUCUUUUAAAACUUGUGACGUA